GACGAACGCUGGCGGCGUGCCUAAUACAUGCAAGUCGAACGCAGUGGGGACGGGUGAGGAACACGUGGGUAACCUGCCCAUCAGAGGGGAUAACACUUGGAAACACGUGAUAAACCGGUACUGAUGGAUGGUCCCUCGGUGCAUUAGCUAGUUGGGUAGGUAACGGCUCACCAAGGCAACGAUGCAUAGACGGCCUGAGAGGGUGAUCGGCCACACUGGGACUGAGACACGGCCCAGACUCCUACGGGAGGCAGCAGUAGGGAAUCUUUGGAAAUGGACGAAAGUCUGACCGAGCAAUGCCGCGUGAGUGAAGAAGGUUUUCGGGUCGUAAAUCUCUGUUGUUAGAGAAGCGGUAUCUAACGAAAAAGCCCCGGCUAACUACGUGCCAGCAGCCGCGGUAAUAC
This 404-nucleotide ribosomal RNA is filed under the name uncultured bacterium. RNAcentral's name for it is "partial 16S ribosomal RNA". It matches the Rfam family "Bacterial small subunit ribosomal RNA", at positions 28 to 526 of the family's 1533-position model. The record is from RNAcentral.